This 496-nucleotide ribosomal RNA is filed under the name uncultured bacterium. Its description in RNAcentral is "partial 16S ribosomal RNA". It matches the Rfam family "Bacterial small subunit ribosomal RNA", at positions 28 to 523 of the family's 1533-position model. The record is from RNAcentral.
GAUGAACGCUAGCGGCAGGCUUAACACAUGCAAGUCGAGGGGUAGAGUUAGCUUGCUAACCUGAGACCGGCGCACGGGUGCGUAACGCGUAUGCAAUCUACCUUGUACAGAGGGAUAGCCCAGAGAAAUUUGGAUUAAUACCUCAUAGUAUUAUUGACUGGCAUCAUUUGAUUAUUAAAGUUCCAACGGUACAAGAUGAGCAUGCGUCCCAUUAGCUAGAUGGUAAGGUAACGGCUUACCAUGGCAACGAUGGGUAGGGGUCAUGAGAGGGAGAUCCCCCACACUGGUACUGAGACACGGACCAGACUCCUACGGGAGGCAGCAGUGAGGAAUAUUGGUCAAUGGGCGCAAGCCUGAACCAGCCAUGCCGCGUGCAGGAAGACGGUCCUAUGGAUUGUAAACUGCUUUUAUACGGGAAGAAACCCUGCUACGUGUAGCAGCUUGACGGUACCGUAAGAAUAAGCAUCGGCUAACUCCGUGCCAGCCGCCGCGGUAA